This 874-nucleotide ribosomal RNA is filed under the name Harryflintia sp. RNAcentral's name for it is "bacterial SSU rRNA". It matches the Rfam family "Bacterial small subunit ribosomal RNA", at positions 65 to 942 of the family's 1533-position model. The record is from RNAcentral. Lineage: Bacteria; Bacillati; Bacillota; Clostridia; Eubacteriales; Oscillospiraceae.
AACGGAGUUUUCAGUGGAAGCCUUCGGGUGGAAGCUGUAAACUUAGUGGCGGACGGGUGAGUAACACGUGAGCAACCUGCCUUUGCGAGGGGAAUAACACCUGGAAACAGGUGCUAAUACCGCAUAAUGUUUUUGGAGGACAUCCUCUGAUGACCAAAGAUUUAUCGCGCAAAGAUGGGCUCGCGUCUGAUUAGAUAGUUGGUGAGGUAAUGGCCCACCAAGUCUGCGAUCANUAGCCGGACUGAGAGGUUGAUCGGCCACAUUGGGACUGAGACACGGCCCAGACUCCUACGGGAGGCAGCAGUGGGGAAUAUUGCACAAUGGGCGCAAGCCUGAUGCAGCGAUGCCGCGUGAGGGAAGACGGCCUUCGGGUUGUAAACCUCUGUCAUUGGGGACGAAUAAUGACUGUACCCAAGGAGGAAGCCACGGCUAACUACGUGCCAGCAGCCGCGGUAAUACGUAGGUGGCGAGCGUUGUCCGGAAUUACUGGGUGUAAAGGGAGCGUAGGCGGGCUUGCAAGUUGAAUGUUUAAUCUAUGGGCUCAACCCAUAGCUGCGUUCAAAACUGCAAGUCUUGAGUGGAGUAGAGGCAGGCGGAAUUCCUAGUGUAGCGGUGAAAUGCGUAGAUAUUAGGAGGAACACCAGUGGCGAAGGNGGCCUGCUGGGCUCUAACUGACGCUGAGGCUCGAAAGCGUGGGUAGCAAACAGGAUUAGAUACCCUGGUAGUCCACGCCGUAAACGAUGAUUACUAGGUGUGGGGGGACUGACCCCUUCCGUGCCGGAGUUAACACAAUAAGUAAUCCACCUGGGGAGUACGGUCGCAAGACUAAAACUCAAAGAAAUUGACGGGGGCCCGCACAAGCAGUGGAGUAUGU